Molecule: long non-coding RNA, 216 nt
Filed under: Mytilus galloprovincialis (Mediterranean mussel)
Lineage: Eukaryota; Metazoa; Mollusca; Bivalvia; Mytilida; Mytilidae
Source: RNAcentral
GUGCUUUGUUCAUUGUUGAGGACAAUAUAAUGACCUAUAGUUGGUUACAUCCACAUCAUUUGGACUCUUGGUGGAAAGUUGUAUCAUUGGCAAUCAUACCAUCUCCUUAUUUUAAUAUGUAUCAAAAAGCAUGCAUGUAAAGUUAAAUCAAAGUUAAGUGAUCUUGUUUUGUUUUACUAUUACUGGUGAUCAAAACAUCUUAACCAUCCACAAAAA